GAUGAAGAACGUAGUGAAAUGCGAUACGUAAUGUGAAUUGCAAAUUCAGUGAAUCAUCGAGUCUUUGAACGCACAUUGCGCCCCCUGGUAUUCCGGGGGGCAUGCCUGUCCGAGCGUCAUUGCUGCCCUCAAGCACGGCUUGUGUGUUGGGCCCCGUCCUCCGAUCCCGGGGGACGGGCCCGAAAGGCAGCGGCGGCACCGCGUCCGGUCCUCGAGCGUAUGGGGCUUUGUCACCCGCUCUGUAGGCCCGGCCGGCGCUUGCCAAUCAACCCAAAUUUUUUAUCCAGGUUGACCUCGGAUCAGGUAGGGAUACCCGCUGAACUUAAGCAUAUCAAUAAGCGGAGGA
Molecule: unclassified non-coding RNA, 346 nt
Filed under: soil metagenome
Description: partial contains 5.8S ribosomal RNA, internal transcribed spacer 2, and large subunit ribosomal RNA
Rfam family: 5.8S ribosomal RNA (bases 1-119)
Source: RNAcentral